GAUGGUGUCUGCACAUGCUCAGAAUUGGGAAAGAGUAGCAGAAAUUCCUGAGGCAGACCUCUGCAUUUAUGUUUUUGUUUUUAUUUGCCAUGAGAAAAAAAAUUACCUUGGGGAAGAAUAUGAGGAAACCCCUGAGUCUGUAACCAAUGACAAAUCAGGCAAGAGAGGAGGCGGGGAAGGAAGCCUUGUGUUUCUCCACCAAAGAGACACCCAGCACUAGAAGUGUUAAACUAAGAAACCCUGAAUGUUUAAUCUGCCAGAAACAUAUGAGAAGAGCAAUCAUAUCUGGGAUAAGUAGCUCCGAAUGAGGAACAUUCAGGAACCAAAUAAACAAGUCUACAUUCAAAACCAAAUAAACAACUCUACAGAUGAAAGGACGAAUGAUUCCAGUGGGUCCAGACUUUUAUAAUCUCCUGGUUUUGCAAGCACUGAUAUAUGAUUUUAACAUUGCAUUGUUCUGUCUCAUUGUGUGGAUAUAAAAUGAAUAAGAGGUCUUUGGAGUGAAUGCCAUUUCACCACUAAACACUGCAAAGAAAUGAGUUUCCAAACACAUUUGGUUUAUAACCUAUCCUGAAUUCAUUUGAGAAAUAAAGCCUAACCUUCACCUCUACUCCUUACAAUAGUCCUUUUAGCAAGACAUUCACGAAUAUCUGGCUUUACUUCAUUGGUGGAAAUUACAUUAGCUGCAAAAAAUAUCUUCACACUAUUUACUCCAUUAUCUGUGUUUAUUUAUAUGCUAAUGUACUUCAUAAUAUGUAUGCUGUAAAUACAUCUUAUUUUUGUUUUCAUUGUCGAUGGUGAAGUGGUAGGCUCCUGAACAGAGCUCACAUGAAGUCAGAUGACGCAGCAGUGCAAAAAUUCAUUUAAAUGAUAACGCUCAGUUUGUUGUGGUUGUACGACACUCCAGACAUUAUGAAUCAAUCAAUGAUUUACCAGAACAUAUCCAAUGUGAUUGCAAUGACAUGAACUGGAUAGCAAUUCUGCUUCACUAAUAUCAGAGAGUGCUUUCAUCGUGUGAGACAGGAUCUUGUGUCUUGGUGACUCUGCUCACAGCUUGACAUGCUGUGGGAGGCGAAGGAUUUCUUAUAAAUAAAGCACACUUCCAGCAGGCCAGGUGGCUGUGCACCAGGGGCAUAGCUAUAAUUGAACAAGGCAGGGCACAAAUGUCUGUAGGCCCCUGGGGAAGAGGGAAAAGCUUGCUCUUCUUUGCUCUCCCUCUCCUGUCUCUCCUAAGAUGGAAGUGGGGGGAUGGAGUGGGCAGGGCUCCAUCUUCACUUUUAGUCCCAGGACUCUCUGGGACCUUAACCUCCAGCUGAUAGCACCAUUGCAGUUGUGUUGGCUGUAUAGGUGGUUCAGUGUACAAUGCCUUCCCAUUUUUCCAUGCAGUCUGUCAGGUAGGGGGGGAUUUUCCUACAGGACUUGAGGGAGGAAAUACUCCAUUCGUCCCACAUGUUUGCUGAGCUCUUCAAGGACAACUAUUAUAACAAAGCAAAAGCCUGACUUUCAGCCUCUUUGGUCAGAUUCUACCAAGGCCAUCCCUUUCUGUCCACAGAGCACAGUGAAUAAUUUAGCUGCUGUGCUUCUCUGAAAGGGCAAAUGGCCUUUUCAAAUGCUCUCCUGAAUGCUAUGGUGAUUCACCCAUUAACAUUGCUCAGACUGACGGACAUUUUCAUAAGCAAUCCGCUGAUGGAUUUGUUUUGAGCCCAGCUUCUAUUCCAAACUAGCACAACACAGCAGAUUUUAAUCUAUACUGGUUUAAGAUCAUUUUAUCUAGACAUGGGGAUAUAUAUUAUAAUUAGCUGAAUUAAAGCAUUGUUUUUCUCUA
Molecule: long non-coding RNA, 1825 nt
Organism: Hemicordylus capensis (graceful crag lizard)
Lineage: Eukaryota; Metazoa; Chordata; Lepidosauria; Squamata; Cordylidae
Exons: 3
Source: RefSeq, a predicted model, not a curated record